AUUGAACGCUGGCGGCAUGCUUUACACAUGCAAGUCGAACGGCAGCGCGGGCUUCGGCCUGGCGGCGAGUGGCGAACGGGUGAGCAAUGCAUCGGAACGUGCCCAGUAGUGGGGGAUAGCCCGGCGAAAGCCGGAUUAAUACCGCAUACGACCUGAGGGUGAAAGCGGGGGACCGAAAGACCUCGCGCUAUUGGAUCGGCCGAUGUCCGAUUACCUCGUUGGUGGGGUAAAGGCUUACCAAGCCGACGAUCCGUAGCUGGUCUGAGAGGAAGACCACCCACACUGGGACUGAGACACGGCCCCGACUCCUACGGGAGGCAGCAGUGGGGAAUUUUGGACGAUGGGGGCAACCCUGAUCCAGCCAUGCCGCGUGCGAGAAGAUGGCCGUCGGGUUGUAAACCGCUUUUGUUCGGGAAGAAAUCCUCUGGGCUAAUACCCCGGGGGGAUGACGUUACCGGAAGAAUAAGCACCGGCUAACUACGUG
Molecule: ribosomal RNA, 484 nt
Filed under: uncultured bacterium
Lineage: Bacteria
Description: partial 16S ribosomal RNA
Rfam family: Bacterial small subunit ribosomal RNA
Source: RNAcentral